This is a long non-coding RNA of Populus trichocarpa (black cottonwood), 890 nucleotides long. RefSeq lists it as uncharacterized. The transcript has 3 exons. NCBI's taxonomy places the organism in Eukaryota, Viridiplantae, Streptophyta, Magnoliopsida, Malpighiales, Salicaceae. The record is from RefSeq and is a predicted model, not a curated record.
AUUUAACUCUUCAUAGUACCAAGUUGUUGGGCAAGAUUAGAAUCGAGACAGACCUGGUCCUUGUUCUCCUCCUCGGGGAUUCCAACAGCCAAAAUGAGGCAACCAGAAAUCAGGGCUACAGGCAGGUGGUUUUGAUUUUUCUCUCAUCAGGGUGGCAGGAGGCCGACAUUGGGAGAUCAAUUGUGCUCAACACAAAUUCUCAUGGCAUAGAUGAUCAUUUUGCUGGUGAAUAAUGGCAAGAAAUGGCACUCUGUGCUGGUCCACAUUCAUCACUGGGUAACAAACAAUUAAGGAACUUUUUUCUGUUCACUCUUCUUCCAUGAUUAAACAACCCACGAACACAGUGCACUUGACUUGGAGGCGUUUGUUUCACGUAAAAUAUUUUUUUAGGGAAAAUAUUUUGUGUGUUUUACAGUGUUCUUCUCUUUAGAAAAACGAUAAAACAUUUUCAGUCAGGGGAAGGGGAGGAAAAUGACAAAAAAAUAAUAAUCUCGCUCGUGUCUAUCCCUUCCUCUCCUUCUGCCUCUUCUCUCUUAUUUCUUGGAGCUCAGAAUCUAACCAUUGAAAAGAGAUCAGCAAGUCUUCAUUCUCCACUCCAGGAGGAGCAACCAGGAUUGGAUCUUCUGUUAGAGGAGGUCACGAGACAGGCGGAACAGGUCCAUCAAAUAUCCAAGGAGAUCAUUAGUUUAGGACUCUACUUUGUCAAGCUUAUGUAAAUAUUUAACUUAAACAAAAGGGAAUUAACGCGUUGAUGUAGUAUGCUUUUGUGUAAACCUUGAUGUAUUUCUAAAAGUUCAGCUUAGCAUGUAGUACUUUAGUUAUCUUGUAAUUAACCCUUUUGAAAUGUUUAAGAACACUUAUUAUGUUGUAAUGCUUUCUUUGCAUGUUAG